GAUGAACGCUGGCGGCGUGCCUAAUACAUGCAAGUCGAGCGAACAGACGAGGAGCUUGCUCCUCUGACGUUAGCGGCGGACGGGUGAGUAACACGUGGAUAACCUACCUAUAAGACUGGGAUAACUUCGGGAAACCGGAGCUAAUACCGGAUAAUAUAUUGAACCGCAUGGUUCAAUAGUGAAAGACGGUUUUGCUGUCACUUAUAGAUGUAUCCGCGCCGCAUUAGCUAGUUGGUAAGGUAACGGCUUACCAAGGCAACGAUGCGUAGCCGACCUGAGAGGGUGAUCGGCCACACUGGAACUGAGACACGGUCCAGACUCCUACGGGAGGCAGCAGUAGGGAAUCUUCCGCAAUGGGCGAAAGCCUGACGGAGCAACGCCGCGUGAGUGAUGAAGGUCUUCGGAUCGUAAAACUCUGUUAUUAGGGAAGAACAAAUGUGUAAGUAACUAUGCACGUGUUGACGGUACCAAAUCAGAAAGCCACGGCUAACUACGUG
RNAcentral lists this ribosomal RNA (497 nucleotides) under uncultured bacterium. RNAcentral's name for it is "partial 16S ribosomal RNA". It matches the Rfam family "Bacterial small subunit ribosomal RNA", at positions 28 to 507 of the family's 1533-position model. The record is from RNAcentral.